Long non-coding RNA from Megalobrama amblycephala (Wuchang bream), 1006 nucleotides. RefSeq lists it as uncharacterized. The record is from RefSeq and is a predicted model, not a curated record. Lineage: Eukaryota; Metazoa; Chordata; Actinopteri; Cypriniformes; Xenocyprididae. The transcript has 3 exons.
GUUAGUUUGGUUUUACUCAAGUAACAUGAUCUGAUCUACAAUUAAGUCCCAUGAAGGCAGCAUGUAGCCCGGUUAAACUGUAAAUCCAGUGGUCAGUAACACUGAAGUGAUACACUGUCUGUCUCCUCAGUGUAGAUCCUCCUGCUGUAAAAACCAGCAUUGACCAGCAUGAAUUCCCUUUCAGUCACUGUCUACCAACCUGCAGUCGGUUCAGCACGAAACAUCAGGCUCACAGCAACAGAUUAAGAAGAAUCCUGCAUCAAAAGAUGACUUCAACUUGCAUGUGAGACAGAGUGAGAAGAGAAAAAGAAGAAUGAAGAUGGACUGUCUAAGAAACCUGUUACCAUAGUCAGCUGGAUCCCCUCCAAAUCCAGAUCAGAUGCUGGACCUGCAUCUUGGCAUGACCACAACGCAAGCCUAAAUGUCAAAGAAGACCAUGUCAACUAGACAAGCCAGACAGAUCCCCUGUGAGGACUUCGUUGACAACCAUCGGCAAAGAUCCUCAGCAAAGACCACAAGAACCAGACAAGUCCUCUGCACAGACCCCUACGGCCAGCUUCAACUCUAUGCCGGCGUGUUGUAUUUUGAUCUUCAAACUGAUGGAACCAUAUGAAAUAUUCUAAAUUAUACCAAUCCACAAUCUGACUUGUGUUGCUGCCUGAAUCAUAUCACACCAUGUUCGUUCAUUGGCCAGAGGAGAAUUGGUCCCUGACUGAGCCUGGUUUCUCCCAAGGUUUUUUUUUCUUCUCCAUUUUUGUAACCUGAUGGAUUUUGGGUUCCUUACCCCUGUUGCCUUUGGCUUGCUAAGUUUGGGACACUUAAUAUUCAGCAAUAAUAUUGAUUUGAUUGCACUGACACUAUCAUAUGAGAACUGAACUGAGCUGGACGAUGACAUCACUGUUUUCUGCAGAGCUGCUUUAUAACGAAUUGAACUGAUUUCAUAAUUGAUUAACUAUAUACAGCUAUUGAACAGAACUGAAUUAAAACUAUACUGACUUCAGCUGAA